CAUACAAUGAGAAGCCUAUGACGGACUGGGGAGCGGAAAGAGGCGGAAAUGACGGCGCAGCUCCACAGUGGCGCGGUGCAGUCUUCCCCUCAGAUAACGGCGGCGGAAGGCCCAGGACGCGGAGCGGGCUGCUCUCCGGUGUGGGACUUGGUUCUCGGUUUUCUCGCGUGUGGGGUAAGAGGAGGAAGAUCUACUCAGUGAUCUGGCUGCGUUUAUUCUCAUUGUCUCUCACUAAACUUCGGUGACAGCUGUUUAAAUUCCUGUCAGCCUCCCACGUCUUCUCGCUAAUCCCUCAACCCCCUCGCCGCCCCUCAAGGCCACGUACUGGUCAGCCGAGGCUGCCACGACGCCACGUCACAAACUGGGUGCACGAACGGCAGCAACCACUUCCUCACAGCUCUGGCGCCUGCAAGUCCAAGAUCGGGGUGCCAGCACAGCCAGGCUCCGGUGAGGGCUCGCCGAGGGCCACCUCCACCCCGAGUCCUCACGUGGCAUUUCCUCUCUGGUCAUGUGGAAAGAGAGGACAGACAGUGAGCUCUUUUUGUGAGGACAUUAAUUCUAUCGGAUCAGGGUCUCACUCUCAUGAUCUCAUUUAACCUGCAUUGCCUCCGUAGAGGCCCCGUCUCCAAAUACAGCCGAACCUUGAACACCCUGGGCGUGCGCUGUGCGGGCUGUGCACACAGGUCUCCUUCCAGCUCUGCCGCGCAGACGCCAGGACCAGCCCCUCGCCCUCCGCUCCCCGGCCCACGCGGCGGGAAGCCGGUGAGGACGAAGACUUUAUGAGGAUCCACUUCCACUCAGUGCAUGGACCAGCCAGUUGUGGAUCUGCUGUCUCAGUGGUAGCAACAAUAAAAUCACCUACAAAGCCCAUGUCUCUGGAUAGAGGAACAGGGAAGAAAAUGCCCCCAGUAUGUGAAAAGUUGUGGGGUGUCCCUACUCUUUCUCUCUUGUAUCUCUCCACUGAAGUAUGAGCACAAUUGGGCAGAACCUAGAAAUAAAGUGGAAACUUAAACUAGAAGAACCUAAUCUUUCUGGAUUCCUUCAGAGGAACUGGGACAAGAGGCCUCUAAGAACCCGACAGGAUAGGGGAAACCUCUCAGAAGAGAGAGCCGGAAAACAGAAACCACAGUUCUGUGCAUGAGACAACACAAGUACCAGACUCACCCUCAAAAUAUACAUGUGCAACGAAGCUUAGCAAAGACUUUAGGAACUUAACUAUAGUAUAAACUACCACCCAAGUUUCAGGCCAAUUGUAUGGGGCAUAAGAAUGACAGAUCGAAAUAACACGGAAAAGACUGAAAUCUGAACUGAUACUGGCACCACCACUCACAGAAGCUGAAACAGAACUGGAAGUCUGGACCUUAUUAGGUUGAUUUCUUGCUCUAACCAAAACACCAACAUUCUCCAGAGAAAUCUAACAGGACCAGAGUCCCAUAACAAUUCAAAUUGUUAAGGGUACGAUCCAAAAUUCCUUGAUGUAGCAAACCCAGGAAAAUCUGGCCAAAUCUCAAAGGAAAGAACAAUCAAAGAACAACUCCAAGAUGAUACAGAUGUUGGAAUUAUUAGCCAUUAUAAUCAUAAUUCAUAAGAUUAAAGGUUAACACUCCUGAAACAACUAGGUAAAUACAAACUUCGAGCAGAGAAUAGAAACUAUAUUUAAAAGAACCAAGUGAAAAUUGUAGAACUGAAAAACAACGUCUAAAACAAAAUCUUAACUGAAUGGACACAACUGCAGAAUGAAGAUAACAAGGAAAGGAGCCAAUAAAAGAAGAUAGAGCAGUAGAAAUUGACCCAUCUUAAGGAUACAGAGAAGAUUAAAAUAUAAACAAAUCUUUGGGGACCUAUGUGAAAAUGUCAAGACAUAUAGCAUUCAUAUCAUUGGAGUCUCAAAAGGCACAAACAAAGAGAUUGGGGCAGGAAAAUUAAUAAAAGAAAUAAUGACUACUCACAAACUGGGUGAAAGACAUAAACGUACAGAUUUAAUAUAUUCCGAAAACUCCAAGGAGGAUAAACUCCAAGAAUACCAUGCCUAACCUAGACACACCAUGAUCAAACUCCUGGAAAGCCAAGAUAAAGAAAAUUUCCUGGAAGUAGUCAGAGCAAAGAAAUCACAUUACAUAUAGGGUAACAACAAUUCAGAUGACUACAGAUUUCUCAUCAGAAACUAGGGAUAGGGGACCAGAAGACAGUAGAACAACAUCUUUCAAGGAAUGAGAGAAAAUAAAUGCUAACCCAGAAGUCUACAUCUGGUGAAAACAACCUUUAAGAAUGAAGGAGAAAUAAAGACAUUCUCUGAUGCAGGAGAACCAAGAGAAUUUGUCACCAACCUGUUCAAAAGAAUUGCUAGAGAAAGUCCUUCAUAAUGAAUUGAAACGAUACUAGAGGGAAAUCUAGAAUUUCAGGACUUGAGGAAGAAAAGCAGAAAUCAUAAACAUCUGAAUAAAUGAGGAUUCAUAUUAUUCAUGUUAACUUGGGAAGAGGGAGUUCUGGUCCCUAGCACCACCACCCCCAGCAUUUGCAGACUGACCAAGGUCCUCAUUAUGAUUGUUCAAGUAUGAAAGUGUCUGUGCAGUCUUUCACUUGAGGAGAAUGUGUUUUGGUUUCUUGAUGGUGCUGUGAUACUGUCAAGUAGGCUGAACUGCCAUUCAUCUCACCAAGAGAAACUAACAUUUUCAACUAGAACUUACACAGAGAAAUGCAUGCAGAAAAUACGUGUCAUCCUGCAUGCCUGCAACCUCCCUGAGAAUCUCCCCAUCACAACAGAUGUUCUCCAGCCAGCACUCGUCGAGGGCCAGGCAGAGUGGAUGCGUGGCAGGUGUCACCACAUUGGACAAAACCCUAGGCCUCAGCAGCCCCAGAGAGAGGUCAGCAGCUUUUCUCAAGGGGUUACGUUGUUCCAGAUCUCUCCAGCAUUUGGAAUACAGUUGAGUUGCACACUUAACAUUCUUCUUUAAUUAUGAAGCUGGAAUAAACAUUAGUAGAUGCCAGAUCCAACUGUGGACGGGGACAAAAGUGCACCGGCCAGCGGAGGAAGGAGCGCGGGUCCUGCUGUGGUCGUUCGCCACAUGAAAUAAAAAUGAUGGAUGGUCCACAUUAUCAUCCUUUGAAAGAAGGACACGGGAGACUGUUUCCAUUUGGCAAUUUCUUUGUUUACAAAAAAGGAAAGGUGGGAGAGGCCUGGGUUCCCACAGGCGUAUGUGGUGUUUUGCAACUUCUUUGAAAAGCUGCGAGGGAAGCAAGGCCUUUGCCAGCGGAGGGGUCCUGAGGACGGUGGUUGUGGUGGCUGUGGUGUCGCACAAAGGGCUGUAGCUGAGCCCUUUUUGCCACGCUCCGGACUGGCUCCCGGAGCUGCCUAGCGGAAGCGCAUGCCUAGAUGCUCAGGCUCCCAAGGAACCUUAGACCCAUCCCUGCAGCUAUCGGCUGAUUAUUUUCACUCCUGUCAAGGACACUGGUCUUCCAUGGGUGGCCUUCCCCUAGGUCAGCUGCAGCCCUGCGCUCCUCCCAGCUCGAAAGGUUCCACAUUGCUGAUAACUGCUGUGGACAGAACCACGUGCCCCAAAGUUCACAGGCAGAAGCCCUCACCCUCAAUGUGACUAUACCUGGAGACAGAACCUUUAAAGAUAUAUUUAUGGUUAAAUGCAUCAGGAGUGAGCUGCCUGGUUUCAAAUGGGUCAUUUGACUUCGGGGACUAAGGACACUAGUUGUGGGUUUCAUUCUUUUCUUUCUUGGCAUACGGGACCCAAUUACUCUUAUUCUCACAUUACUCUCAAAGACCACUACCCCGUGCCCCAGUCCAGAUCCCAGUGGGGGUGACUCAGGCCUUGCAAAUCCAAUUAUCUCCUCUGGCCAUGGAUGGGUCCAGGAGAGGGAGAGGUGACCCAGUCAGAAUCGACAAGAAGCCAAGAGACUCUGGGCUUCAAGGGAAGCGAUUCUUGCCCUGGGGAAGCCCAAAGUGGGAGGAAGCUGGGUCUCUGACCGAAGGCCGCUGGGGGACAGGCCUGUGCAAAUAGCAGUGACAGAGUGGCAGUGACUAAUUCCUGGUCAAACCACACAAAAAGGCAGAAUAACUUCUGAGUAGGAUGCG
Molecule: non-coding RNA, 4084 nt
Organism: Microcebus murinus (gray mouse lemur)
Lineage: Eukaryota; Metazoa; Chordata; Mammalia; Primates; Cheirogaleidae
Source: RefSeq, a predicted model, not a curated record